This 449-nucleotide ribosomal RNA is filed under the name uncultured bacterium. Its description in RNAcentral is "partial 16S ribosomal RNA". It matches the Rfam family "Bacterial small subunit ribosomal RNA", at positions 29 to 523 of the family's 1533-position model. The record is from RNAcentral.
AACGAACGCUGGCGGCAUGCCUAACACAUGCAAGUCGAACGAGAUCUUCGGGUCUAGUGGCGCACGGGUGCGUAACGCGUGGGAAUCUGCCCUUUGGUUCGGAAUAACAGUUGGAAACGACUGCUAAUACCGGAUGAUGACGAAAGUCCAAAGAUUUAUCGCCAGAGGAUGAGCCCGCGUAGGAUUAGCUAGUUGGUGUGGUAAAGGCGCACCAAGGCGACGAUCCUUAGCUGGUCUGAGAGGAUGAUCAGCCACACUGGGACUGAGACACGGCCCAGACUCCUACGGGAGGCAGCAGUGGGGAAUAUUGGACAAUGGGCGCAAGCCUGAUCCAGCCAUGCCGCGUGAGUGAUGAAGGCCCUAGGGUUGUAAAGCUCUUUCGGCGGGGACGAUAAUGACGGUACCCGCAGAAGAAGCCCCGGCUAACUUCGUGCCAGCCGCCGCCGUAA